CCUACGGGUGGCAGCAGUGGGGAAUAUUGCACAAUGGGCGCAAGCCUGAUGCAGCGACGCCGCGUGCGGGAUGGAGGCCUUCGGGUUGUAAACCGCUUUUGUUCAAGGGCAAGGCACGGUCUUUGGCCGAGUUGAGUGGAUUGUUCGAAUACGAACCGGCUAACUACGUUCCAGCAGCCGCGGUACUACGUAGGGUGCAAGCGUUAUCCGGUUUUAUUGGGGGUAAAGGGCUCGUAGGCGGUUCGUCGCGUGCGGUGUGAAAGUCCAUCGCUUAACGGGGGAUCCGCGCGGGGUACGGGCGGGCUUGAGGGCGGGAGGGGAGACUGGAAUUCCCGGUGUAACGGUGGAAUGUGUAGAUAUCGGGAAGAACACCAGUGGCGAAGGCAGGUCUCUGGGCCGUUACUGACGCUGAGGAGCGAAAGCGUGGGGAGCGAACAGGAUUAGAUACCCUAGUAGUC
This 458-nucleotide ribosomal RNA is filed under the name uncultured bacterium. RNAcentral describes it as "partial 16S ribosomal RNA". It matches the Rfam family "Bacterial small subunit ribosomal RNA", at positions 338 to 795 of the family's 1533-position model. The record is from RNAcentral.